UAAAAUACUUCAUUCUAACAAAGAAUUAACUUUUCCUCUCACUGAACCGUCUCCUAUGCUGAAUUUAUAGGUACUUUAGGGACAAUUAGUGGCCUAUGCCUGUAGAAUGAAGGCACCAUGCCUAUUUCCAGUCUGAACAUCCCCUCAAUAUCAUUGAGGUUAUUUACCAAAGGCCAAGAACCCAGUCUGGUCAGAAAUUCUCAAAAAAUUCUUGUUAUGCUAUGGUUUUAGUCUCCAAAGUUGGCUCCCCAAUGAACCAUGCCUCCUGGAAUUCACCCCCUUGUGUAAAUCCCCUCCCCUUGAAGCUAUUCUACCCCCUAUAACCCAUUUCAGGCAUCAGAUACAGCAGAGGUGAUGCUGCCUGGCUUCAGAGACUAAGUCAUCCAAAGAUUUCCAGCUUCACCUGGGUCUCUUGGAAUCCUUACUGUGAGGAAAGACAGCCACUAGGUAGGAAAUAUGACCACUCUGGGAUAACCUCAGAGUAGAGUAAACUUUGAAUAAGGCCAAGCUCAUCAAAUAGAGAGGCUACACAGAGAGAGAGAGGCAUGCCUGGCCAAUCAUGGUUUUUCCCACACUCCCAGCCAAAGUGCCAACAUGUGGAUACCAUCUUGAACAUCCAGAGACUUUAGGCAACUCCAUCCGAACCUGACUGCAACUGCAUGAGAUAUGGAGUCCAGUGAAUCCAGAGAACAAUGAGAGACCACAGUAAACAAAGGUUUUAAGCUACUAAAUUUUGGGAUGAGUUGUUACACAGAAAGAAUGAACUAAAAGUUUUACUUUUCAUCAGAGCCAGUCCCCAUACCCUCCUUGGACUCAGAAAUGACUGUUUUCCCCCAGGAUCUCCUUUCAGUCUCAUAAGGAUUCAUAGCAUGUCAAAGUCCAUGCUGAGAGCUAAGAAAGAGCCCUAUGGAACUCCUCUAUGACAAGGGACAUAAAAGGUCCAAAAGGACACAACUACAAGACACAGGUCUGCAGAAGCCACCCUCAGCGUUGACAGCAUGGCUCCCUUUGGUACCAGCAUGGUCCCUUGGGUACCAGCAUGGCUCCCUUUGGCACAAAGGUUACAGCUUCCAGGAAUCAGAAAAAGUGAUGCCAAUUUAAAGGAUUUUCAUAGUCAGAUAUUUUGCUCUGAAGAAACUUCGUUAGAUAUAAAUAAAAUUAAUAUUGAAUCCCUGCUUUACCUUUGAUUUUUAUUUCCUCAAUUUAAAUCCCC
RNAcentral lists this long non-coding RNA (1213 nucleotides) under Sus scrofa (pig). Its description in RNAcentral is "lncRNA (ENSSSCG00045024382.1, ENSSSCG00065030122.1)". The record is from RNAcentral. Lineage: Eukaryota; Metazoa; Chordata; Mammalia; Artiodactyla; Suidae.